GCUGUGCCAUGAACCCUUGUCUUCACGAUGGCGAAUGCAUCGCAGACAACACCAGCCAUGGCUACUACUGCAGGUGCCCGCCUUCCUGGCAAGGGGAUGAUUGCAGUGUGGAUGUGAAUGAAUGCCUGUCGAACCCCUGCCCAUCCAUUGCCACAUGCAACAAUACUCAGGGAUCCUUUAUCUGCAAAUGCCCGGUUGGGUACCAGCUGGAAAAAGGGAUAUGCAACUUGGGUAAGAGACUUAGUCUGUUUCUGACUUUAUUCUGUACCACAAUAUAUUUUACAAGGUAACGUUUGUUAUUUUUCUUCCCAAUCAAAAUCAGUAUUUGUCCAAGGUAUAAACUUAAGGAAUAUAGAAAAAAGUGGAAGCUAUUGUCCAUUAUUCUAAUACUUGGAGAUACACACCCUACUUUGCAUUAUG
RNAcentral lists this small RNA (420 nucleotides) under Pongo abelii (Sumatran orangutan). RNAcentral describes it as "retained intron". The record is from RNAcentral. Lineage: Eukaryota; Metazoa; Chordata; Mammalia; Primates; Hominidae.